GGAUGCCUUGGCAGUCAGAGGCGAUGAAAGACGUGGUAGCCUGCGAUAAGCUUUGGGGAGUCGGCAAACAGACUGUGAUCCAGAGAUCUCUGAAUGGGGGAACCCACUCAGCAUAAGCUGAGUAUCUUGUACUGAAUACAUAGGURCAAGAGGCGAACCAGGGGAACUGAAACAUCUAAGUACCCUGAGGAAAAGAAAUCAACCGAGAUUCCCUUAGUAGUGGCGAGCGAACGGGGACCAGCCCUUAAGUUGGUUUGAGAUUAGUGGAACGCUCUGGAAAGUGCGGCCAUAGUGGGUGAUAGCCCCGUACACGAAAAUCUCUUAUCAAUGAAAUCGAGUAGGACGGAGCACGANNNNACUUUGUCUGAACAUGGGGGGACCAUCCUCCAAGGCUAAAU
This 398-nucleotide ribosomal RNA is filed under the name Pseudomonas putida. RNAcentral's name for it is "bacterial LSU rRNA". It matches the Rfam family "Bacterial large subunit ribosomal RNA", at positions 26 to 471 of the family's 2925-position model. The record is from RNAcentral. Lineage: Bacteria; Pseudomonadati; Pseudomonadota; Gammaproteobacteria; Pseudomonadales; Pseudomonadaceae.